AACAGACAUAGCCAUCUCAUGAAGAUGACUCUUUUACAUCCGACACAAGGAUAAUAGCGCUAUAAAAGAAAUCCAAAAUUUUGGUCCAGAACUUCCGGUCUCCGGAGAGAUGCUCGAUUCGUAUCAAACAAGUCGUAUAAGCCGAGAACUUUUCGCGGACUUUACAUCGAUACGAAUCAGGAAGAAAUCGCGACAGGAAAAACGAUAGCCGGUUAGUCACCGCACAAUCCUUAAACCGAAAGUAAACCUAGGUCUUGCCCUAAACCCAGCGCACUGGUCUCUAACAUCUCAAAGGCAUGAUAUCGAAAGAUAAGAGAUUCUUAAAACACGCCUCUAUGUUUACGUUCGAUACCUUCAGCACCCCCGCAGAGUUCACAUCUCGCGGAAGAACUCUCGAAACAGGUCUCGAAUAAAACAUUUCACAAUCGAAGAAGGGUAUGAGACGACAACUCAUCACCUUCCUCCCCACUAUUCACAAAUUCAUAAAAAGCGUUGUCCGAUUAUCAUAUCAUAAAGCCGCGGAGCGGCAGGGAUUCAAAGCCACACACGGCCAGUCCCGAAGUACAAACAAGGCCAUUCAAGGCCGAAACAUAAAGACAUAAAAAAAAAAAACAAAUCUCUCGCAAGAGAUUUAACCCAAGUCACCCUCAGAACUUACGCCCCCUCUUCACCCGCCGCCUCGUCCGAGCCUGGAGCCGCGUCGCUUCCAUUCUCUCCGACCAUCGGAUCUUUCCCCUCUGGGUCUUCUGAACACGUCAGAAGGAAGCAAGCGGAUUUUAGGUCGGCCAGGAUGAGACCGAAAUGCCAGAACGAUUUCUUUUCUGGCCGGAGGCGGAGGCAUAGAGUCAGCGGCCUUUUCUUUGUCCUCGACAAGGAUCAGAGUCGUGGAAGAUCCCGCAGGUAGGACUUGCGGGAGAGGAACCGCGACGUCGGUCCCAUGACACGGGGCAACGACCUGCUCGGAGGAAGACGGAAACUCGGAGCCAGUCUGAGCCAAUCCUUUCUCGGCUUAACGACGAACUAGUUUCUCUCGGAAAGAAAGAUGACCGGCAACACAAGCCGGCACUUCCGCCGGAGAAGUUGGAACCGGAGCCGGAGAAGUG
Molecule: long non-coding RNA, 1103 nt
Filed under: Brassica rapa (field mustard)
Lineage: Eukaryota; Viridiplantae; Streptophyta; Magnoliopsida; Brassicales; Brassicaceae
Description: long non-coding RNA (BRAP_LNC008484)
Source: RNAcentral